AUUGAACGCUGGCGGCAGGCCUAACACAUGCAAGUCGAGCGAGCGGCGGACGGGUGAGUAAUGUAUGGGGACUGCCCGAUAGAGGGGGAUAACUACUGGAAACGGUGGCUAAUACCGCAUACUAUCGGAUAACCCAUAUGGGAUUAGCUAGUAGGUGGGGUAAAGGCUCACCUAGGCGACGAUCUCUAGCUGGUCUGAGAGGAUGAUCAGCCACACGGGGCAGGAUACACGGCCCAGACUCCUAAGGAGCCAGCAGUGGGGAAAAUUGCACACGGGGGGAAAGCGUUAGGAAGCCAGGCGGCGUGUAGUAAGAAGGCCUUAGGGUGGUAAAUUACUUUAAGCGGGGAGGCGUUAACCGCAGAAGAGGCACCGGCUAACUCGGUGCCAGCAGCGGCGGUAAUAC
Molecule: ribosomal RNA, 403 nt
Filed under: uncultured bacterium
Lineage: Bacteria
Description: partial 16S ribosomal RNA
Rfam family: Bacterial small subunit ribosomal RNA
Source: RNAcentral